This 251-nucleotide ribosomal RNA is filed under the name uncultured prokaryote. RNAcentral describes it as "partial 16S rRNA". It matches the Rfam family "Bacterial small subunit ribosomal RNA", at positions 525 to 775 of the family's 1533-position model. The record is from RNAcentral.
ACGGAGGGUGCAAGCGUUAUUCGGAAUUACUGGGCGUAAAGGGCGUGCAGGCGGGAGAGCAAGUCUGAUGUGAAAGCCCGGGGCUUAACCCCGGAAGGGCAUUGGAAACUGCUUUUCUUGAAUGCGGGAGAGGAAGAUGGAAUUUCCGGUGUAGGGGGAAAAUGCGUAGAGAUGAGGAGGAGGACCGAUGGCGAAGGCGAUCUACUGGAUCAUAAUUGAGGCUGAGAUGCGAAAGCGUGGGGAGCAAACAG